Molecule: long non-coding RNA, 544 nt
Organism: Oryzias melastigma (Indian medaka)
Lineage: Eukaryota; Metazoa; Chordata; Actinopteri; Beloniformes; Adrianichthyidae
Exons: 3
Source: RefSeq, a predicted model, not a curated record
CUCCGACAGGUGAGCGAGCUCAGGUGAGCAGCGACGCCAAACCGUGGAUCAUCCCCGAAAUAACGGAGUGGGAGUGGGUGAAGGAGGAGGAGGGGAAAGGAGAGAGAAAAGCUGAUAUUCCUGAUCUGUCACGGGCAGAGAUCAUCUGGAUCUUCGUCCUUCAUCCUCUGACGCAUCAGAUCUCAGUCGCUCCUCACCAGCAGUGAUACUGUAAGGACUCUAUCAGACCGAAUGUAAGAUCAUUGUUUAAAUAUCCCCUUCCCCCAUGAGUUUCCAACCCCCUCAAGCUCCAAACGUCCCAUCCUCGUCACCGCGGCCGCUCCUCUUCAAACUUCUGCACCAUAGAAGACGAAGAAGAAGAAGAAGCUUUGAUAGCUGCCUGUCUCCGUGGCGACCAAUGAUUCCUUUUUUCAAUGGUUUCCUGAGCCGAUGAGGGGCAGAAACUGUUUGAGCGACACAAAGACAAAAGAAACAAACGUGAAAAAGAUGAAACCGUCGACUUCCUGUUGCAUCUGCAUGUUAAUACAUAAAAAUAUUCACACAA